Molecule: unclassified non-coding RNA, 314 nt
Filed under: Hevea brasiliensis (rubber tree)
Lineage: Eukaryota; Viridiplantae; Streptophyta; Magnoliopsida; Malpighiales; Euphorbiaceae
Source: RNAcentral
AAUGUUUGCCUCAACUCAACGUGUCUGCUUCCCCAUCACACCACCCACCAAAAAAUAAAUAAUUUCAGAUACCAAUGGAAAUAAUAAAUAGAUUUUUAUUUUCAAGAGGAAAAGAUUCAAUAUGCAAUCCAAAAAGGACAAGACAACAAAAGUCAAUGCACUUAUAUCUGGUUGGUACAAACUCGAAGACUAUUAACCAAAAGCAGAAUCAUUAUUGAACUCUUGAAAAAUAAUAUCAAAAGAAAAGGAUGGAAUGAAAGACAAGAACCAACCAUUGAAGUUUAGGCACUUUCUCAAUACUCAACUCAACUCAA